UACGUAGGGUGCGAGCGUUAAUCGGAAUUACUGGGCGUAAAGCGUGCGCAGGCGGCUUUGCAAGACAGAUGUGAAAUCCCGGGCUCAACCUGGGAACUGCAUUUGUGACUGCAAGGCUAGAGUACGGCAGAGGGGGAUGGAAUUCCGCGUGUAGCAGUGAAAUGCGUAGAUAUGCGGAGGAACACCAAUGGCGAAGGCAAUCCCCUGGGCCUGUACUGACGCUCAUGCACGAAAGCGUGGGGAGCAAACAGG
Molecule: ribosomal RNA, 252 nt
Filed under: uncultured bacterium
Lineage: Bacteria
Description: partial 16S ribosomal RNA
Rfam family: Bacterial small subunit ribosomal RNA
Source: RNAcentral